RNAcentral lists this long non-coding RNA (291 nucleotides) under Mytilus galloprovincialis (Mediterranean mussel). Lineage: Eukaryota; Metazoa; Mollusca; Bivalvia; Mytilida; Mytilidae. The record is from RNAcentral.
GUUAUUUUGAAAAAUUAUGUAAAGAACUGCAAACUGAAUCAGUUCAUUUAAAAAUCUGUAAAUUUUCACUGGGAGUAGGAAAGAGAAGCACAAAUAUGGCAGUGAUAGGUGAGCUAGGGAGAUAUCCUUUAUUUAUUGAAGUUAUAGUUAAUAUGUUUUCAUACUUAUCACGUUUAACAAGUACAGAGGACCAAUUAUUGUCUGAAGCUCUCCUUGUAUCAAAAUCCUUAUCAAACCAUAGUAAGAAAAGUUGGUUUAAUUCUAUAAGUUCACUAGCAAAAUACUUAGACA